RNAcentral lists this ribosomal RNA (774 nucleotides) under uncultured Neocallimastigales. Its description in RNAcentral is "partial large subunit ribosomal RNA". It matches the Rfam family "Eukaryotic large subunit ribosomal RNA", at positions 22 to 634 of the family's 3401-position model. Lineage: Eukaryota; Fungi; Neocallimastigomycota; Neocallimastigomycetes; Neocallimastigales. The record is from RNAcentral.
GUACACGCUGUGACUAGCAUAUCAAUAAGCGGAGGAAAAGAAACUAACAAGGAUUCCCCUAGUAACGGCGAGUGAAGCGGGAAGAGCUCAAAUUUGAAAUCUUAAAGGGUUUCCCUUUACGAAUUGUAGUUUAAAGAAGUGUUUUCUGUUGAGGUUUUGGUAAAAGUUCUUUGGAAUAGGACAUCAUAGAGGGUGAGAAUCCCGUAUUUGACCUUUACUUUCAACUUUGUGAUACACUUUCAAAGAGUCGGAUUGUUUGGGAAUGCAGUCCAAAAUGGGUGGUAAAUUUCAUCUAAAGCUAAAUAUUGGCGAGAGACCGAUAGCGAACAAGUACCGUGAGGGAAAGACGAAAAGAACUUUGAAAAGAGAGUUAAACAGUACGUGAAAUUGUCAAAAGGGAAGCGUUUGACACCAGUGUUGUUUUUCUGAAAAUCAAUUAAAGAACUGUUUAUGCUAAGUUGUUUAGACUUUAUCAGCUAUCUGUUUAGUUUUGAGCUUUUCUUUAAUGCACUUUUCAGUUAACAAGUCAACAUCAAUUUCUCUUGCUGUAAAAAAGCUUGAGGAAGGUGGCUUGAGAUUCGUCUUAAGUGUUUAUAGCCUCUUGCCUAUGCAGUCGGAGAGAUUGAGGUCUGCAGCGUAGAUCCUUCGGGGCUAAAUGCAUUUGUGCUAAGUUAUAGCAUUUUAUAGACAACUUGUUGACUAUGAUUUGUCUUGUAGCUUACUCGCUUAUGUUAUUUUACCUACGCUUAGGAUGUUGACAGCAGUAUAGACUGU